This 1474-nucleotide ribosomal RNA is filed under the name Lactobacillus sp. KLDS 1.0702. Its description in RNAcentral is "bacterial SSU rRNA". It matches the Rfam family "Bacterial small subunit ribosomal RNA". Lineage: Bacteria; Bacillati; Bacillota; Bacilli; Lactobacillales; Lactobacillaceae. The record is from RNAcentral.
CAUGCGACGUGCUAUAGAUGCAAGUCGAACGAACUCUGGUAUUGAUUGGUGCUUGCAUCAUGAUUUACAUUUGAGUGAGUGGCGAACUGGUGAGUAACACGUGGGAAACCUGCCCAGAAGCGGGGGAUAACACCUGGAAACAGAUGCUAAUACCGCAUAACAACUUGGACCGCAUGGUCCGAGCUUGAAAGAUGGCUUCGGCUAUCACUUUUGGAUGGUCCCGCGGCGUAUUAGCUAGAUGGUGGGGUAACGGCUCACCAUGGCAAUGAUACGUAGCCGACCUGAGAGGGUAAUCGGCCACAUUGGGACUGAGACACGGCCCAAACUCCUACGGGAGGCAGCAGUAGGGAAUCUUCCACAAUGGACGAAAGUCUGAUGGAGCAACGCCGCGUGAGUGAAGAAGGGUUUCGGCUCGUAAAACUCUGUUGUUAAAGAAGAACAUAUCUGAGAGUAACUGUUCAGGUAUUGACGGUAUUUAACCAGAAAGCCACGGCUAACUACGUGCCAGCAGCCGCGGUAAUACGUAGGUGGCAAGCGUUGUCCGGAUUUAUUGGGCGUAAAGCGAGCGCAGGCGGUUUUUUAAGUCUGAUGUGAAAGCCUUCGGCUCAACCGAAGAAGUGCAUCGGAAACUGGGAAACUUGAGUGCAGAAGAGGACAGUGGAACUCCAUGUGUAGCGGUGAAAUGCGUAGAUAUAUGGAAGAACACCAGUGGCGAAGGCGGCUGUCUGGUCUGUAACUGACGCUGAGGCUCGAAAGUAUGGGUAGCAAACAGGAUUAGAUACCCUGGUAGUCCAUACCGUAAACGAUGAAUGCUAAGUGUUGGAGGGUUUCCGCCCUUCAGUGCUGCAGCUAACGCAUUAAGCAUUCCGCCUGGGGAGUACGGCCGCAAGGCUGAAACUCAAAGGAAUUGACGGGGGCCCGCACAAGCGGUGGAGCAUGUGGUUUAAUUCGAAGCUACGCGAAGAACCUUACCAGGUCUUGACAUACUAUGCAAAUCUAAGAGAUUAGACGUUCCCUUCGGGGACAUGGAUACAGGUGGUGCAUGGUUGUCGUCAGCUCGUGUCGUGAGAUGUUGGGUUAAGUCCCGCAACGAGCGCAACCCUUAUUAUCAGUUGCCAGCAUUAAGUUGGGCACUCUGGUGAGACUGCCGGUGACAAACCGGAGGAAGGUGGGGAUGACGUCAAAUCAUCAUGCCCCUUAUGACCUGGGCUACACACGUGCUACAAUGGAUGGUACAACGAGUUGCGAACUCGCGAGAGUAAGCUAAUCUCUUAAAGCCAUUCUCAGUUCGGAUUGUAGGCUGCAACUCGCCUACAUGAAGUCGGAAUCGCUAGUAAUCGCGGAUCAGCAUGCCGCGGUGAAUACGUUCCCGGGCCUUGUACACACCGCCCGUCACACCAUGAGAGUUUGUAACACCCAAAGUCGGUGGGGUAACCUUUUAGGAACCAGCCGCCUAAGGUGGACAGAUUAAGUG